UACUAUGAUUUCUCUCUGUGAAACCACAAAGAAGAAGAAAAUCAUUAGGAAUUGGAGGUCCGUGUCAUCUGAUGAACAUAUCUAGAAUGGCAGCUUAGCCAUCAUUUACCAGGGAACCUUGGAAGGAGGAAGGAGGAAGGGAGCAAGAUCCCAAUCAGAGGGAAACUUCUGGAGAUUUUGUGUCAAAGGAAGCAUUAAGGCUGUAUUGUUUUUAAAUGAAGAAAACCCAUGAAAAUUAAAGCAAUUUCUGUGCUAUCAAAAGAAAAAAAAAGUUUGAAAAGAUGGGAGUACAUUUUUGAAAACAAUAUUACAGAAUUCGUGCUACUGGGCUAGAAAAUGGAGGACUUUUGUUUAUCAGUGGAGAAAGGGAC
This is a long non-coding RNA of Neogale vison (American mink), 371 nucleotides long. RefSeq lists it as uncharacterized. The transcript has 3 exons. Lineage: Eukaryota; Metazoa; Chordata; Mammalia; Carnivora; Mustelidae. The record is from RefSeq and is a predicted model, not a curated record.